AGCUUUCUCACAUCCUUACCCUGCUUGAGGGAGUUUGGGUUGGUAGUGAUUGUCCUUACUUUAGUGAACUAAAGAAAAAAUGCAGUCCUGGAGAUUGACCUUGUCGUUCUGGGAUGCGAUGAUGGGCCUGGAACCGAAUCAGACACGUAAAACAAAACAGAAGAACAUUCCCAAAGGCAUAAUUAAGAUCUUCUAAGGAAGCAGGACCAAAAGUGCGUUUAUGAGCAACUGCGAAGUGGGAAAGUUCCAAUCUCUGAGUGGGAGAAUACACCUGGAGAAGACCCCUGAACGCUUUUUGCCGGACCGCGUAAGCGGAGCCGACCUAGAAGAGCGAAUGCUGGCAGGCUGGCCCAAUGUUAAACAGCAUAGUGGUUAGAGACGUGGACUACAUAGCAAAGGGUCCCGCGUUCGACUCCCGUUACAAUCAAAACACAUUCAACACUACUGCGGACCGGCUGAACUAGGCGUGCCUGGUUUCUUAAGAGCUCUGAGAACUAACGUUAGGUUUGACAUCACUAGACAUGGCAACAUUUGGGGAGGAAAAAUAAAUACAUGUAAAUGACUUGCUCCACGCACAAAUAAGUCACUACAUUUGUUUAUUUAGGCCGUGCACAUUUACACAGGUGAUUGUGAUGUUAAAGGAUACUUUGGGGUUUACUGUUGUGUAACAGAGUUAAUGUUAGCCUUCUUGCUAGUUAACUAUAACGUUACUAAACUGUCAAUACAGUUGCCUGGUGGGUGUCGACAUGGGAAUGUUCUCAACUAAAACUCCUGAAAUGAAACGAUUUCCAUAAUCUAUAAAAUUUUAUGGGAGUAGAUGUUAUUUCAAGGA
Molecule: long non-coding RNA, 832 nt
Organism: Esox lucius (northern pike)
Lineage: Eukaryota; Metazoa; Chordata; Actinopteri; Esociformes; Esocidae
Exons: 3
Source: RefSeq, a predicted model, not a curated record